Molecule: ribosomal RNA, 233 nt
Filed under: uncultured Actinomycetales bacterium
Lineage: Bacteria; Bacillati; Actinomycetota; Actinomycetes; Actinomycetales
Description: partial 16S ribosomal RNA
Rfam family: Bacterial small subunit ribosomal RNA
Source: RNAcentral
GGCGAACGGGUGAGUAACACGUGGGUGAUCUGCCCUGCACUUCGGGAUAAGCUUGGGAGACUGGGUCUAAUACCGGAUAGGAGCCAUUUUUAGUGUGAUGGUUGGAAAGUUUUUCGGUGUAGGAUGAGCUCGCGGCCUAUCAGCUUGUUGGUGGGGUAAUGGCCUACCAAGGCGGCGACGGGUAGCCGGCCUGAGAGGGUGGACGGCCACAUUGGUACUGAGAUACGGCCCAG